RNAcentral lists this ribosomal RNA (486 nucleotides) under uncultured bacterium. Its description in RNAcentral is "bacterial SSU rRNA". It matches the Rfam family "Bacterial small subunit ribosomal RNA", at positions 338 to 816 of the family's 1533-position model. The record is from RNAcentral.
CCUACGGGUGGCAGCAGUGGGGAAUAUUGCACAAUGGGCGCAAGCCUGAUGCAGCCAUGCCGCGUGUAUGAAGAAGGCCUUCGGGUUGUAAAGUACUUUCAGCGAGGAGGAAGGCAUUGUGGUUAAUAACCACAGUGAUUGACGUUACUCGCAGAAGAAGCACCGGCUAACUCCGUGCCAGCAGCCGCGGUAAUACGGAGGGUGCAAGCGUUAAUCGGAAUUACUGGGCGUAAAGCGCACGCAGGCGGUCUGUCAAGUCGGAUGUGAAAUCCCCGGGCUCAACCUGGGAACUGCAUUCGAAACUGGCAGGCUAGAGUCUUGUAGAGGGGGGUAGAAUUCCAGGUGUAGCGGUGAAAUGCGUAGAGAUCUGGAGGAAUACCGGUGGCGAAGGCGGCCCCCUGGACAAAGACUGACGCUCAGGUGCGAAAGCGUGGGGAGCAAACAGGAUUAGAUACCCCGGUAGUCAAGGGCGAAUUCCACAUUGGG